Molecule: ribosomal RNA, 482 nt
Filed under: uncultured bacterium
Lineage: Bacteria
Description: bacterial SSU rRNA
Rfam family: Bacterial small subunit ribosomal RNA
Source: RNAcentral
GAACGCUAGCGGCAGGCUUAAUACAUGCAAGUCGAGGGGCAGCGCAGUGUAGCAAUACAUGGGCGGCGACCGGCAAACGGGUGCGUAACACGUACGCAACCUUCCCGUUACUGUGGGAUAGCCCAGGGAAACUUGGAUUAAUACCACAUAUUGCCAUUGAGAGGCAUCUCUUGAUGGCCAAAGAAUUUCGGUAACGGAUGGGCGUGCGGUUGAUUAGGUAGUUGGCGGGGUAACGGCCCACCAAGCCUACGAUCAAUAGCUGAUGUGAGAGCAUGAUCAGCCACACGGGCACUGAGACACGGGCCCGACUCCUACGGGAGGCAGCAGUAAGGAAUAUUGGGCAAUGGACGAAAGUCUGACCCAGCCAUGCCGCGUGAAGGAUGAAGGUCCUCUGGAUUGUAAACUUCUUUUUUCUGGGGAGAAAUGCAUCUUUUCUAAGGUGUUUGACGGUACCAGAAGAAUAAGCACCGGCUAACUCCGUG